Molecule: ribosomal RNA, 592 nt
Filed under: Rhodococcus sp. CMT78
Lineage: Bacteria; Bacillati; Actinomycetota; Actinomycetes; Mycobacteriales; Nocardiaceae
Description: bacterial SSU rRNA
Rfam family: Bacterial small subunit ribosomal RNA
Source: RNAcentral
AGGCGACGACGGGUAGCCGGCCUGAGAGGGCGACCGGCCACACUGGGACUGAGACACGGCCCAGAMWCCUACGGGAGGCAGCAGUGGGGAAUAUUGCACAAUGGGCGCAAGCCUGAUGCAGCGACGCCGCGUGAGGGAUGACGGCCUUCGGGUUGUAAACCUCUUUCAGCAGGGACGAAGCGUGAGUGACGGUACCUGCAGAAGAAGCACCGGCCAACUACGUGCCAGCAGCCGCGGUAAUACGUAGGGUGCAAGCGUUGUCCGGAAUUACUGGGCGUAAAGAGCUCGUAGGCGGUUUGUCGCGUCGUCUGUGAAAACCAGCAGCUCAACUGUUGGCUUGCAGGCGAUACGGGCAGACUUGAGUAUUUCAGGGGAGACUGGAAUUCCUGGUGUAGCGGUGAAAUGCGCAGAUAUCAGGAGGAACACCGGUGGCGAAGGCGGGUCUCUGGGAAAUAACUGACGCUGAGGAGCGAAAGCGUGGGUAGCGAACAGGAUUAGAUACCCUGGUAGUCCACGCCGUAAACGGUGGGCGCUAGGUGUGGGUUUCCUUCCACGGGAUCCGUGCCGUAGCUAACGCAUUAAGCGCCCCGCC